AGGAUGAACGCUGGCGGCGUGCUUAACACAUGCAAGUCGAACGAUGAUCCUCAGCUUGCUGGGGGGAUUAGUGGCGAACGGGUGAGUAACACGUGAGUAACCUGCCCUUGACUCUGGGAUAAGCCUGGGAAACCGGGUCUAAUACUGGAUAUGACCUUCUGGCGCAUGCCAUGUUGGUGGAAAGCUUUAUUGCGGUUUUGGAUGGACUCGCGGCCUAUCAGCUUGUUGGUGGGUAAUGGCCUACCAAGGCGACGACGGGUAGCCGGCCUGAGGAGGGUGGACGGCCACACUGGGACUGAGACACGGCCCAGACUCCGUACGGGAGGCAGCAGGUAGGGGAAUAUUGCACAAGUGGGCGCAAGCCUGAU
This 368-nucleotide ribosomal RNA is filed under the name uncultured soil bacterium. RNAcentral describes it as "bacterial SSU rRNA". It matches the Rfam family "Bacterial small subunit ribosomal RNA", at positions 26 to 387 of the family's 1533-position model. The record is from RNAcentral.